GGAUAGCUAGGCAUUGGUAAGCCGACCUACUUGCUACGUAGUAGCCUCUGUGCUCUCAGCGUUCGAUUCGCUGGUUAUCCG
Molecule: transfer RNA, 81 nt
Filed under: Clavispora lusitaniae
Lineage: Eukaryota; Fungi; Ascomycota; Pichiomycetes; Serinales; Metschnikowiaceae
Description: tRNA-Ser
Source: RNAcentral